GUCUACGGCCACGCCACCCUGAACGUGCCCGAUCCCGUCUGAUCUCGGAAGCUCAGCAGGGUUGGGCCUGGUUAGUACUUGGAUGGGAGACCACCUAGGAAGAUCGGGUGCUGUAGGCG
RNAcentral lists this ribosomal RNA (119 nucleotides) under Pteropus alecto (black flying fox). The record is from RNAcentral. Lineage: Eukaryota; Metazoa; Chordata; Mammalia; Chiroptera; Pteropodidae.